Molecule: non-coding RNA, 888 nt
Organism: Bemisia tabaci
Lineage: Eukaryota; Metazoa; Arthropoda; Insecta; Hemiptera; Aleyrodidae
Source: RefSeq, a predicted model, not a curated record
AGAACCAAAUCAGAAUUUUUGACUGCGUAAACUUCAGAGAACGUUAAAAAUUACUCGACUUUCUGAGAGAUGAAGGGUUUCUCGGCAUUAUCCAAAUCAGCAACAAGUGCAAAAUUAUUGUGUGGAACGAUUCGUUAUAAUCAAACUUCUCAAGCUGAAAGCACCCGCUAGAAAUCGUGGUAUUUUAGGUGCACUGGCGGGAAGCCAGAGAUGACGUCAAGACAACUAUUUGAAACAAUUCUGUAGGCUGAGCAUAACCUUGGCUUCACUGAAAAAAGUGGUAUGCUGUUUUAGCACCUAGGAUGUCAAAAAAGUGUCUAGUGAUCCAAAGAUGCUACCUUGAUUGCCCACGCAGUUGAAUUUGCAUUCAUAGGAUGUAAAGUUAACUGCGAAGGCAGUAGAGGUAGCAUCUUGGGACACAUUUUUGACAUGCUAGGUGCUAAAACAGCAUAUUAUUUUUUUCAGUGUUGAUUGGGCGGAGGGUACUUUCUAUGAGUUUAGCCUUGCUCUUUUUCAUAGCAUCUUGAUGCCAAGCCGAUUAUCGCAGGAUAUAGUAAAAGUGGUAUAGAGUUGAUACUCACGGACUCAGCCCAGAUUAUGGCGCACCAUCCAAUAGUGGUAGGCGCGACCAAAAACAACAUGAGAUUCUUUCGGCCGAAGACGUCGACAGUGAGACCAGUGAUGAUGCACCCGAUGAUGGCACCGAUGGCCAUGAUGCCGCCCACCCAAGACAUGUCAUCUUCCGUCACCGGGAACCCGUAUUCACCGUCCAUCAGUUUCGGCCCGGCCGGCGAGGACCAUGCCAGGAUGUUCCCGGCGAUGAAACCACCGAUUGUCGCUGAAAAAUGAAAAAAAAAAAAAAAAAAAAAAAAAAAAAAAAAAAAAAAA